AUUCUUGGUCAUUUUAGAGGAAGUAAAAGUCGUAACAAGGUUUCCGUAGGUGAACCUGCGGAAGGAUCAUUAUUGAAUGAACUCGGCAGACUGUUGCUGGCCUCUCGGGGCAUCGUGCACGUCUGCCCAUGUCAUCUUUAUAUCUCCACCUGUGCACCUUUUGUAGACCUGGAUUCAGUUUUCCGAGGURACUCGGUCGUGAGGAACUGCUUAACGGCUUUCCUUGUUAGUUUCCAGGCCUAUGUUUUCAUAUACACCAUACGAAUGUAACAGAAUGUCAUUAUUAGGCUUAAAGGGCCUAUAAACCUUUAUACAACUUUCAACAACGGAUCUCUUGGCUCUCGCAUCGAUGAAGAACGCAGCGAAAUGCGAUAAGUAAUGUGAAUUGCAGAAUUCAGUGAAUCAUCGAAUCUUUGAACGCACCUUGCGCUCCUUGGUAUUCCGAGGAGCAUGCCUGUUUGAGUGUCAUUAAAUUCUCAAUCCAUAUGAUUUCUUGACCACAUGAACUUUUUGGUUAGCAAAUGGCUUGGAUGUGGGGGUAUGCAGGUUUCUCUAUUGAAAUUAGCUCCCCUGAAAUACAUUAGCUGGUUGCCUUGUGUAAACUUGUCUAUUGGUGUGAUAAUUAUCUACGCCGUGGACUAUUUGCCGUUUUUAGCACUGCUUAYAAUCGUCUGUUCAUUCGGACAAUAUAAAUCAGGUAGGACUACCCGCUGAACUUAAGCAUAUCAAUAAGCGGAGGAAAAGAAACUAACAAGGAUUCCCCUAGUAACUGCGAGUGAAGCGGGAAAAGCUCAAAUUUAAAAUCUGGCAGUCUUUGGCUGUCCGAGUUGUAAUCUAGAGAAGUGCCAUCCGCGCUGGACCGUGUACAAGUCUCCUGAAU
RNAcentral lists this small RNA (880 nucleotides) under uncultured Basidiomycota. Its description in RNAcentral is "eukaryotic LSU rRNA". The stretch from base 315 to 468 matches the Rfam family "5.8S ribosomal RNA". Lineage: Eukaryota; Fungi; Basidiomycota. The record is from RNAcentral.